AGUGAACGCUGGCGGUAGGCCUAACACAUGCAAGUCGAACGGCAGCACAGGAGAGCUUGCUCUCUGGGUGGCGAGUGGCGGACGGGUGAGGAAUACAUCGGGAUCUACUCUGUCGUGGGGGAUAACGUAGGGAAACUUACGCUAAUACCGCAUUCGACCUACGGGUGAAAGCAGGGGACCUUCGGGCCUUGCGCGAUUGAAUGAGCCGAUGUCGGAUUAGCUAGUUGGCGGGGUAAAGGCCCACCAAGGCGACGAUCCGUAGCUGGUCUGAGAGGAUGAUCAGCCACACUGGAACUGCGACACGGUCCAGACUCCUACGGGAGGCAGCAGUGGGGAAUAUUGGACAAUGGGCGCAAGCCUGAUCCAGCCAUACCGCGUGGGUGAAGAAGGCCUUCGGGUUGUAAAGCCCUUUUGUUGGGAAAGAAAUCCAGCUGGCUAAUACCCGGUUGGGACGACGGUACCCAAAGAAUAAGCACCGGCUAACUUCGUGCCAGCAGCCGCCGUAA
RNAcentral lists this ribosomal RNA (506 nucleotides) under uncultured bacterium. Its description in RNAcentral is "partial 16S ribosomal RNA". It matches the Rfam family "Bacterial small subunit ribosomal RNA", at positions 29 to 523 of the family's 1533-position model. The record is from RNAcentral.